UCCGUAGGUGAACCUGCGGAAGGAUCAUUCACAAUGAGUGUUUUAUGGCACUCUUUAAAAAUCCAUAUCCACCUUGUGUGCAAUGUUUGUUGGGAGAGAGGCAACUCUUUCCCUUCACAAAUAUCAACCUAUAUCUUUAACAACAUUCGUCUGAUAACAUAUUAUGAAUAUACUUAAUUCAAAAUAUAACUUUCAACAACGGAUCUCUUGGCUCUCGCAUCGAUGAAGAACGCAGCGAAAUGCGAUACGUAAUGUGAAUUGCAGAAUUCAGUGAAUCAUCAAAUCUUUGAACGCAUAUUGCGCUCUUUGGUAUUCCGAAGAGCAUGCUUGUUUGAGUAUCAGUAAACACCUCAACCUCCUCUUGUUUUUUCAAAAGGAGGGUGGACUUGAGCUAUCCCAACAACCUUCACCGGUAGGCGGGCGGCUUGAAAUGCAGGUGCAGCUGGACUUUUAUCUGAGCUAAAAGCAUAUCUAUUUAGUCCUCGUCAAACAGGAUUAUUACUAUUGCUGCAGCUAACAUAAAGGAUAAUUGUCCUCAUUGCUGACUGAUGCAGGAUUUUACGACACUUUAUGUGUUGUUCAACUCGAUCUCAAAUCAAGUAAGACUACCCGCUGAACUUAAGCUCAUCAAUAAGCGGAGGA
This 642-nucleotide ribosomal RNA is filed under the name uncultured fungus. Its description in RNAcentral is "eukaryotic LSU rRNA". The stretch from base 188 to 341 matches the Rfam family "5.8S ribosomal RNA". The record is from RNAcentral. Lineage: Eukaryota; Fungi.